This 497-nucleotide ribosomal RNA is filed under the name uncultured bacterium. RNAcentral's name for it is "partial 16S ribosomal RNA". It matches the Rfam family "Bacterial small subunit ribosomal RNA", at positions 28 to 507 of the family's 1533-position model. The record is from RNAcentral.
GAUGAACGCUGGCGGCGUGCCUAAUACAUGCAAGUCGAGCGAACAGACGAGGAGCUUGCUCCUCUGACGUUAGCGUCGGACGGGUGAGUAACACGUGGAUAACCUACCUAUAAGACUGGGAUAACUUCGGGAAACCGGAGCUAAUACCGGAUAAUAUAUUGAACCGCAUGGUUCAAUAGUUAAAGACGGUUUUGCUGUCACUUAUAGAUGGAUCCGCGCCGCAUUAGCUAGUUGGUAAGGUAACGGCUUACCAAGGCAACGAUGCGUAGCCGACCUGAGAGGGUGAUCGGCCACACUGGAACUGAGACACGGUCCAGACUCCUACGGGAGGCAGCAGUAGGGAAUCUUCCGCAAUGGGCGAAAGCUUGACGGAGCAACGCCGCGUGAGUGAUGAAGGUCUUCGGAUCGUAAAACUCUGUUAUUAGGGAAGAACAAAUGUGUAAGUAACUAUGCACGUCUUGACGGUACCUAAUCAGAAAGCCACGGCUAACUACGUG